RNAcentral lists this antisense RNA (75 nucleotides) under Kitasatospora aureofaciens. Its description in RNAcentral is "Streptomyces aureofaciens ASpks TB sRNA". It matches the Rfam family "ASpks TB sRNA". Lineage: Bacteria; Bacillati; Actinomycetota; Actinomycetes; Kitasatosporales; Streptomycetaceae. The record is from Rfam by way of RNAcentral.
CUUCAACGAGCCCAGCCACAGCGGCCGUUCGGCAGGACGCUCCUGCCCGUAGGUGGCCUGGAGCGCCUGCACCUC